ACGCUGGCGGCAGGCCUAACACAUGCAAGUCGAGCGGUAGAGAGAAGCUUGCUUCUCUUGAGAGCGGCGGACGGGUGAGUAAUGCCUAGGAAUCUGCCUGGUAGUGGGGGAUAACGUUCGGAAACGGACGCUAAUACCGCAUACGUCCUACGGGAGAAAGCAGGGGACCUUCGGGCCUUGCGCUAUCAGAUGAGCCUAGGUCGGAUUAGCUAGUUGGUGGGGUAAUGGCUCACCAAGGCGACGAUCCGUAACUGGUCUGAGAGGAUGAUCAGUCACACUGGAACUGAGACACGGUCCAGACUCCUACGGGAGGCAGCAGUGGGGAAUAUUGGACAAUGGGCGAAAGCCUGAUCCAGCCAUGCCGCGUGUGUGAAGAAGGUCUUCGGAUUGUAAAGCACUUUAAGUUGGGAGGAAGGGCAGUAAAUUAAUACUUUGCUGUUUUGGCGUUACCGACAGAAUAAGCACCGGCUAACUCUGUGCCAGCAGCCGCGGUAAUACAGAGGGUGCAAGCGUUAAUCGGAAUUACUGGGCGUAAAGCGCGCGUAGGUGGUUCGUUAAGUUGGAUGUGAAAUCCCCGGGCUCAACCUGGGAACUGCAUUCAAAACUGACGAGCUAGAGUAUGGUAGAGGGUGGUGGAAUUUCCUGUGUAGCGGUGAAAUGCGUAGAUAUAGGAAGGAACACCAGUGGCGAAGGCGACCACCUGGACUGAUACUGACACUGAGGUGCGAAAGCGUGGGGAGCAAAC
RNAcentral lists this ribosomal RNA (745 nucleotides) under uncultured bacterium. RNAcentral's name for it is "bacterial SSU rRNA". It matches the Rfam family "Bacterial small subunit ribosomal RNA", at positions 33 to 773 of the family's 1533-position model. The record is from RNAcentral.